GGUUCCGGUGAGAAACGCUUGAGGAAAGUAGAAGCCGCUAAUCCAGAAGACUGGUGGAAUGCCGUUCAAGAUCCAUCCUUGAAGAAAACGGACCCGCUGCAGCAAAUCUGACACCCAGGAGGCCAGAGGCUUCAGAGACGGAGGAACAAGGCCAAAUGAAGAAAUGACAAAAGGGGGAAAUGAGAUCCACCCACUGAAUCAUUUCCUGUGCACUGCCAACAUGCCCUUGAGCAACAAAUAAAACCAAUGGAACGGCAUGUCGAUUGACUUCCUCAUUUGAGGAUGAUAAAA
Syngnathus typhle (broad-nosed pipefish) is the source of this 291-nucleotide long non-coding RNA. RefSeq lists it as uncharacterized. NCBI's taxonomy places the organism in Eukaryota, Metazoa, Chordata, Actinopteri, Syngnathiformes, Syngnathidae. The record is from RefSeq and is a predicted model, not a curated record. The transcript is spliced from 2 exons.